CAGCCACAUUAUGGACAGAGUGCCACGUCCUGCAUCUUCUCCAGGUUCUUUCUGCUCCUUGUAUUGAGUGUGACUGGAGGCGCAUUGUAAGGACUAUACUGAACAGCGAGAUUAGGGAUGACCCGGCGACCAGUGCUACUUGACAAGCCCAAGCUGGGGACUUCACCCGGUGCCGCGGCUCAGGGAGCGUGUCUGCACGUCCUCGGAACAGCGAUGUUAUGAAACACCGUGACUCUUUGUGUUCUGGGUGACAUCACAGAGUGUUUUCCUGUUUGGGUAGGACAAGUGAAAGAUAUCUGAAUGUUUCAUGGAUGCCAAACGUGGGGCUUUGGGUCACGGGAACUGUGUAUUUCCAGCCUGCAGGUGCUGCCCCCAUCGCCGGCUCCUGGUUUAUGGAAAGACGCCCUUUCAUCAACAACAUGGCGCUAGUCUGGGUCCCUUGGCUCUGUGGCAGCCAUGGCUAUUUGGGGCAUGAAUUUGGACCCAGACAGAGAAAGGUUUUCUGUGAAAGUGAUCUUGUCAUUAUUGUGAGUUCCGGAUGCCCUUUUCAUCUUCACGUGGACCAGACAGUAAUGGCGGUAUUUGCAUCACAUUGUCCCUGGUGACUUGUGACCAGCAUAAUCCCGGCCACUAAAUAGCAUUACAGCAGAAGAGAGCCUCUCUGCCACAAGACAGAGCACCGGCUUUUGGGUUAAAAAAUGUUUUUUCAGUCCAUGGAGAAGAGUGAUGUGUGUGUGUGCACACGUGUGUGUGUGUGUUUUCUGGGGGAGGAAAAGAAUCCUAAAAACAAAACCUCCUAAUUUAAGUCUAGCACUUUCUCCCCCCACCCCACCCCAUUAAAGUCAACCUGAAAAUA
Molecule: long non-coding RNA, 856 nt
Organism: Suricata suricatta (meerkat)
Lineage: Eukaryota; Metazoa; Chordata; Mammalia; Carnivora; Herpestidae
Exons: 2
Source: RefSeq, a predicted model, not a curated record